AAGAGCUCGUAGGCGGUUUGUCGCGUCUGUCGUGAAAGUCCGGGGCUUAACCCCGGAUCUGCGGUGGGUACGGGCAGACUACAGUGCAGUAGCCGAGACUGGAAUUCCUGGUGUAGCGGUGGAAUGCGCAGAUAUCAGGAGGAACACCGAUGGCGAAGGCAGGUCUCUGGGCUGUAACUGACGCUGAGGACCGAAAGCAUGGGGAGCGAACAGGAUUAGAUACCCUGGUAGUCCAUGCCGUAAACGUUGGGCACUAGGUGUGGGGACCAUUCCACGGUUUCCGCGCCGCAGCUAACGCAUUAAGUGCCCCGCCUGGGGAGUACGGCCGCAAGGCUAAAACUCAAAGGAAUUGACGGGGGCCCGCACAAGCGGCGGAGCAUGCGGAUUAAUUCGAUGCAACGCGAAGAACCUUACCAAGGCUUGACAUGUUCUCCAUCGCCAUAGAGAUACGGGUUCCCCUUUGGGGCGGGUUCACAGGUGGUGCAUGGUUGUCGUCAGCUCGUGUCGUGAGAUGUUGGGUUAAGUCCCGCAACGAGCGCAACCCUCGUUCCAUGUUGCCAGCACGUCGUGGUGGGGACUCAUGGCAGACUGCCGGGGUCAACUCGGAGGAAGGUGAGGACGACGUCAAAUCAUCAUGCCCCUUAUGUCUUGGGCUUCACGCAUGCUACAAUGGCCGGUACAAUGGGUUGCGAUACUGUGAGGUGGAGCUAAUCCCAAAAAGCCGGUCUCACUUCGGAUUGGGGUCUGCAACUCGACCCCAUGAAGUCGGAGUCGCUAGUAAUCGCAGAUCAGCAACGCUGCGGUGAAUACGUUCCCGGGCCUUGUACACACCGCCCGUCAAGUCACGAAAGUUGGUAACACCCGAAGCCGGUGGCCUAACCCUUGUGGGGGGAGCCGUCGAAGGUGGGACCAGCGAUUGGACUUAGUCGUA
This 931-nucleotide ribosomal RNA is filed under the name Micrococcus sp. 3.4. RNAcentral's name for it is "bacterial SSU rRNA". It matches the Rfam family "Bacterial small subunit ribosomal RNA", at positions 563 to 1490 of the family's 1533-position model. The record is from RNAcentral. Lineage: Bacteria; Bacillati; Actinomycetota; Actinomycetes; Micrococcales; Micrococcaceae.